RNAcentral lists this transfer RNA (75 nucleotides) under Aurantimicrobium minutum. Its description in RNAcentral is "tRNA-Arg". It matches the Rfam family "tRNA". From Rfam's summary of the family: Transfer RNA (tRNA) molecules are approximately 80 nucleotides in length. Their secondary structure includes four short double-helical elements and three loops (D, anti-codon, and T loops). RNAcentral also lists the same sequence under 4 other names. The record is from RNAcentral. Lineage: Bacteria; Bacillati; Actinomycetota; Actinomycetes; Micrococcales; Microbacteriaceae.
GCCUCUGUAGCUCAAUGGAAGAGCACCUCCGUCCUAAGGAGUUGGUUGGGAGUUCGAGUCUCUUCAGGGGCACCA